ACCCGCUGAAUUUAAGCAUAUAAGUAAGCGGAGGACGAGAAACUAAACAGGAUUCCCACAGUAAUGGCGAAUGAACGUGGAGGAGCUCAACAUGAGAAUUGUGGCCUCCGGCCUUGAAUUGUAAUCUCAAGAUGUACUGCCAACGGAGGCGCAGGCGUAAGCCUCUUGGAAAAGAGCAUCGUUGAGGGUGAGGAUCCUGUUCGUCUCCUGCAGACCUCCGUGUACGGCGUACUUUCAAAGAGUCACGUUCCUUGGGAUUGGAGCGCAAAUCGGGUGGUAAAUUUCAUCUAAAGCUAAAUAUGGGUUCGAGACCGAUAGCAAACAAGUACCAUGAGGGAAAGAUGAAAAGGACUUUGAAAAGAGAGUUAAAAGUGCCUGAACUCGCUGUAAGGAAAGCGGAUGGAACCAGUCUCGCUUGGCAAGAUUGUCGCGCCGUUGCGCGGGGCUGAAGGGGACAGGUUGAACUUGAAAUUCCUUGUACCUGGAAGUGCACGCGUGCCGCGAUGUUUCUUGCCUUGCUUGUCACAAGCGGUUUGCGAUUGAAGACGACCUCUCGGGACAUGGAAGCUCGCCCCAGGGUGUGCGAACGUGCCUUGCAGAACUUAGUCGUAGACUGGCGCUUUGCCCAAGCGGUGGGCGGUAGCCAGCGCAGGUGGUGUGAAAACAGCUUGCGUUGCCCUUUGUUACGAGGGGUGCUGGUUUACGCCCGACUAUUGGUGCACUUGCUUUUGUGACUGAAUGGUUCUAUUCGACCCGUCUUGAAACACGGACCAAGGAGUCUAACAUAUGUGCUAGUCUUUCGCUACCACGGUUAAAGGCGCAAUGAAAGUGAGUGCUGAGAACGAGUAGAGAAACAUCAGCAGCCGACCAAUCAAUUGGGAGAGGUUUGAGCAUGAGCACAUGUGUUAGGACCCGAAAGAUGGUGAACUAUGCCUGAGAAGGGCGAAGUCUGCGGAAACGCAGAUGGAGGCUCGUAGCGAUACUGACGUGCAAAUCGUUCGUCAUACUUGGGUAUAGGGGCGAAAGACUAAUCGAACCAUCUAGUAGCUGGUUCCCUCCGAAGUUUCCCUCAGGAUAGCUGGAGUUGAACAGUUUUAUCAGGUAAAGCGAAUGAUUAGAGGAAUCGGGGACGUGCUGUCCUCGACCUAUUCUCAAACUUUAAAUGGGUAAGGUGCAGUGGUUACUUUGUUGAACUUCUGCGAGGAAUUGCAACUCCAAGUGGGCCAUUUUUGGUAAGCCGAACUGGCGAUGAGGGAUGAACCUAACGUUGGGAUAAGGUGCUCAACUGCUCGCUCAUCAGAUACCAUAAAGGGUGUUGGUUCAUUUUAACAGCAGGACGGUGGUCAUGGAAGUCGAAAUCCGCUAAGGAGUGUGUAACAACUCACCUGCCGAAUGGACUAGCCCCGAAAAUGGAUGGCGCUUAAGCGGGUGACCGAUACCCAACCAUUGUUGCAUCACUUGCGGCAUCAAUGAGUAGGAGGGCAUGGGUGCUUGUUGUGAAGCCUGUGGCGCAAGCCUGGGUGAAAUGGCUCCUAGUGCAGAUCUUGGUGGUAGUAGC
RNAcentral lists this ribosomal RNA (1558 nucleotides) under Polykrikos kofoidii. RNAcentral describes it as "partial large subunit ribosomal RNA". It matches the Rfam family "Eukaryotic large subunit ribosomal RNA", at positions 23 to 1464 of the family's 3401-position model. The record is from RNAcentral. Lineage: Eukaryota; Dinophyceae; Gymnodiniales; Gymnodiniaceae.